AUUGAACGCUGGCGGCAGGCCUAACACAUGCAAGUCGAGCGGAAACGAUGGGAGCUUGCUUCCAGGCGUCGAGCGGCGGACGGGUGAGUAACGCGUGAGAAUCUGCCCAUUAGUGGGGGAUAACUCGGGGAAACUCGAGCUAAUACCGCAUAAUCCCUACGGGGGUAAGCAGGGGACCUUCGGGCCUUGUGCUGAUGGAUGAGCUUGCGUCGGAUUAGCUUGUUGGUGAGGUAAAGGCUCACCAAGGCGACGAUCCGUAGCUGGUCUGAGAGGAUGACCAGCCACACUGGGACUGAGACACGGCCCAGACUCCUACGGGAGGCAGCAGUGGGGAAUCUUGGACAAUGGGGGCAACCCUGAUCCAGCCAUGCCGCGUGUGUGAAGAAGGCCUUCGGGUUGUAAAGCACUUUCAGCAGGGAGGAAGGCUUUGGGCUAAUACCCUGGAGUACUUGACGUUACCUGCAGAAGAAGCACCGGCUAACUCCGUGCCAGCCGCCGCGGUAA
RNAcentral lists this ribosomal RNA (504 nucleotides) under uncultured bacterium. RNAcentral's name for it is "partial 16S ribosomal RNA". It matches the Rfam family "Bacterial small subunit ribosomal RNA", at positions 30 to 523 of the family's 1533-position model. The record is from RNAcentral.